UAGGGAAUCUUCCACAAUGGACGAAAGUCUGAUGGAGCAACGCCGCGUGAGCGAUGAAGGCCUUCGGGUCGUAAAGCUCUGUUGUUAGGGAAGAACAAGUAUCGGAGUAACUGCCGGUACCUCGACGGUACCUAACCAGAAAGCCACGGCUAACUACGUGCCAGCAGCCGCGGUAAUACGUAGGUGGCAAGCGUUGUCCGGAAUUUAUUGGGCGUAAAGCGCGCGCAGGCGGUCCUUGAAGUCUGAUGUGAAAGCCCACGGCUCAACCGUGGAGGGUCAUUGGGAAACUGGGGGGACUUGGAGUGCAGAAGAAGGAAAGCGGAAUUCCACGUGUAGCGGUGAAAUGCGUAGAAAAUGUGGAGGAACAUCCAGUGGCGAAGGCGGCUUUCUGGUCUGUAACUGACGCUGAGGCGCGAAAGCGUGGGGAGCAAACAGGAUUAGAUACCCUGGUAGUCCACGCCGUAAACCGAUGAGUGCUAAGUGUUAGAGGGUUUCCGCCCUUUAGUGCUGCAGCUAACGCAUUAAGCACUCCGCCUGGGGGAGUACGG
Molecule: ribosomal RNA, 548 nt
Filed under: uncultured Bacillus sp.
Lineage: Bacteria; Bacillati; Bacillota; Bacilli; Caryophanales; Bacillaceae
Description: bacterial SSU rRNA
Rfam family: Bacterial small subunit ribosomal RNA
Source: RNAcentral